This 1284-nucleotide ribosomal RNA is filed under the name Microbacterium sp. RNAcentral describes it as "bacterial SSU rRNA". It matches the Rfam family "Bacterial small subunit ribosomal RNA", at positions 60 to 1353 of the family's 1533-position model. Lineage: Bacteria; Bacillati; Actinomycetota; Actinomycetes; Micrococcales; Microbacteriaceae. The record is from RNAcentral.
AGUCGAACGGUGAACACGGAGCUUGCUCUGUGGGAUCAGUGGCGAACGGGUGAGUAACACGUGAGCAACCUGCCCCUGACUCUGGGAUAAGCGCUGGAAACGGCGUCUAAUACUGGAUAUGUGACGUGACCGCAUGGUCUGCGUUUGGAAAGAUUUUUCGGUUGGGGAUGGGCUCGCGGCCUAUCAGCUUGUUGGUGAGGUAAUGGCUCACCAAGGCGUCGACGGGUAGCCGGCCUGAGAGGGUGACCGGCCACACUGGGACUGAGACACGGCCCAGACUCCUACGGGAGGCAGCAGUGGGGAAUAUUGCACAAUGGGCGGAAGCCUGAUGCAGCAACGCCGCGUGAGGGAUGACGGCCUUCGGGUUGUAAACCUCUUUUAGCAGGGAAGAAGCGAAAGUGACGGUACCUGCAGAAAAAGCGCCGGCUAACUACGUGCCAGCAGCCGCGGUAAUACGUAGGGCGCAAGCGUUAUCCGGAAUUAUUGGGCGUAAAGAGCUCGUAGGCGGUUUGUCGCGUCUGCUGUGAAAUCCCGAGGCUCAACCUCGGGCCUGCAGUGGGUACGGGCAGACUAGAGUGCGGUAGGGGAGAUUGGAAUUCCUGGUGUAGCGGUGGAAUGCGCAGAUAUCAGGAGGAACACCGAUGGCGAAGGCAGAUCUCUGGGCCGUAACUGACGCUGAGGAGCGAAAGGGUGGGGAGCAAACAGGCUUAGAUACCCUGGUAGUCCACCCCGUAAACGUUGGGAACUAGUUGUGGGGUCCAUUCCACGGAUUCCGUGACGCAGCUAACGCAUUAAGUUCCCCGCCUGGGGAGUACGGCCGCAAGGCUAAAACUCAAAGGAAUUGACGGGGACCCGCACAAGCGGCGGAGCAUGCGGAUUAAUUCGAUGCAACGCGAAGAACCUUACCAAGGCUUGACAUAUACGAGAACGGGCCAGAAAUGGUCAACUCUUUGGACACUCGUAAACAGGUGGUGCAUGGUUGUCGUCAGCUCGUGUCGUGAGAUGUUGGGUUAAGUCCCGCAACGAGCGCAACCCUCGUUCUAUGUUGCCAGCACGUAAUGGUGGGAACUCAUGGGAUACUGCCGGGGUCAACUCGGAGGAAGGUGGGGAUGACGUCAAAUCAUCAUGCCCCUUAUGUCUUGGGCUUCACGCAUGCUACAAUGGCCGGUACAAAGGGCUGCAAUACCGUGAGGUGGAGCGAAUCCCAAAAAGCCGGUCCCAGUUCGGAUUGAGGUCUGCAACUCGACCUCAUGAAGUCGGAGUCGCUAGUAAUCGCAGAUCAGC